Molecule: transfer RNA, 75 nt
Filed under: Schistocerca americana (American grasshopper)
Lineage: Eukaryota; Metazoa; Arthropoda; Insecta; Orthoptera; Acrididae
Also listed under: 1 other name
Description: tRNA-Pro
Rfam family: tRNA
About the family: Transfer RNA (tRNA) molecules are approximately 80 nucleotides in length.
Source: RNAcentral
UGCUUGGGUAGCUCAGUUGGUAGAGCACUUGCCCGAGGAAGGCAAAGGUCCCGAGUUCGAGUCUCGGUCCGGCAC